Molecule: ribosomal RNA, 453 nt
Filed under: uncultured bacterium
Lineage: Bacteria
Description: bacterial SSU rRNA
Rfam family: Bacterial small subunit ribosomal RNA
Source: RNAcentral
AGAGUUUGAUCAUGGCUCAGAACGAACGCUGGCGGCAUGCCUAACACAUGCAAGUCGAACGAACCCUUCGGGGUUAGUGGCGCACGGGUGCGUAACGCGUGGGAAUCUGCCCUUUGCUUCGGAAUAACAGUUAGAAAUGACUGCUAAUACCGGAUAAUGUCUUCGGACCAAAGAUUUAUCGGCAAAGGAUGAGCCCGCGUAGGAUUAGCUAGUUGGUGGGGUAAAAGCUCACCAAGGCGACGAUCCUUAGCUGGUCUGAGAGGACGAUCAGCCACACUGGGACUGAGACACGGCCCAGACUCCUACGGGAGGCAGCAGUGGGGAAUAUUGGACAAUGGGCGAAAGCCUGAUCCAGCAAUGCCGCGUGAGUGAUGAAGGCCUUAGGGUUGUAAAGCUCUUUUACCAGGGAUGAUAAUGACAGUACCUGGAGAAUAAGCUCCGGCUAACUCCGUG